AUCUGAAGUCCACUUCAGAGUUGUAAGCUGAAGAGGUGUCGACCGACUUGGUCCGGGCCCAACUUCCUUGGAACAGGAGGUCAUGGAGGGUGAGAACCCCGUCUGUGGCUCGGGUGCCGUAGUCCUUGUGUCGUGCCCUCGAAGAGUCGGGUUGUUUGGGAAUGCAGCUCAAAAUGGGUGGUAAAUUUCAUCUAAGGCUAAAUAUUGGCGAGAGACCGAUAGCAAACAAGUAGAGUGAUCGAAAGAUGAAAAGUACUUUGAAAAGAGAGUGAAACAGUACGUGAAAUUGUUGAAAGGGAAGCGUUUGGCAUCAG
Molecule: ribosomal RNA, 314 nt
Filed under: uncultured Archaeorhizomycetes
Lineage: Eukaryota; Fungi; Ascomycota; Archaeorhizomycetes
Description: eukaryotic LSU rRNA
Rfam family: Eukaryotic large subunit ribosomal RNA
Source: RNAcentral